Molecule: ribosomal RNA, 666 nt
Filed under: uncultured Bacillota bacterium
Lineage: Bacteria; Bacillati; Bacillota
Description: bacterial SSU rRNA
Rfam family: Bacterial small subunit ribosomal RNA
Source: RNAcentral
UCCCUACGGGGUGAUUGUUGGGGAUCGAGCGGCGGACGGGUGAGUAACACGUGGGUAACCUACCUGCGAGAUCGGGAUAACCCCGGGAAACCGGGGCUAAUACCGAAUGAUCGUUGGAACCGCAUGGUUCCAACGUAAAAGGCGGCUUUUGCCGUCACUCGCAGAUGGACCCGCGGCGCAUUAGCUAGUUGGUAAGGUAACAGCUUACCAAGGCAACGAUGCGUAGCCGACCUGAGAGGGUGAUCGGCCACACUGGGACUGAGACACGGCCCAGACUCCUACGGGAGGCAGCAGUAGGGAAUCUUCCGCAAUGGACGAAAGUCUGACGGAGCAACGCCGCGUGAACGAUGAAGGUCUUCGGAUCGUAAAGUUCUGUUGUUAGGGAAGAACAAGUACCAGAGGAAAUGCUGGUACCUUGACGGUACCUAACCAGAAAGCCACGGCUAACUACGUGCCAGCAGCCGCGGUAAUACGUAGGUGGCAAGCGUUGUCCGGAAUUAUUGGGCGUAAAGCGCGCGCAGGCGGUUCCUUAAGUCUGAUGUGAAAGCCCACAGCUCAACUGUGGAGGGCCAUUGGAAACUGGGGAACUUGAGUACAGAAGAGGAGAGCGGAAUUCCACGUGUAGCGGUGAAAUGCGUAGAUAUGUGGAGGAACACCAGUGGCGAA